This 207-nucleotide ribosomal RNA is filed under the name uncultured bacterium. RNAcentral describes it as "partial 16S ribosomal RNA". It matches the Rfam family "Bacterial small subunit ribosomal RNA", at positions 568 to 774 of the family's 1533-position model. The record is from RNAcentral.
UGUGUAGGCGGUGCUCUAAGUUUGGUGUGAAAUCUCCCGGCUUAACUGGGAGGGUGCGCCGAAAACUGGAGUGCUCGAGUAUGGGAGAGGUAAGCGGAAUUCCUGGUGUAGCGGUGAAAUGCGUAGAUAUCAGGAGGAACACCUGUGGUGUAGACAGCUUACUGGACCAUCACUGACGCUGAGACACGAAAGCGUGGGUAGCAAACA